UACGUAGGGUGCAAGCGUUGUCCGGGAUUAUUGGGCGUAAAGAGCUCGUAGGCGGUUUGUCGCGUCUGCUGUGAAAACUCGGGGCUUAACUCCGGGCCUGCAGUGGGUACGGGCAGACUAGAGUGCGGUAGGGGAGACUGGAAUUCCUGGUGUAGCGGUGAAAUGCGCAGAUAUCAGGAGGAACACCGGUGGCGAAGGCGGGUCUCUGGGCCGUAACUGACGCUGAGGAGCGAAAGCGUGGGGAGCGAACAGG
This 253-nucleotide ribosomal RNA is filed under the name uncultured bacterium. RNAcentral describes it as "partial 16S ribosomal RNA". It matches the Rfam family "Bacterial small subunit ribosomal RNA", at positions 524 to 776 of the family's 1533-position model. The record is from RNAcentral.